UAAAACAAUUAUAAAAGUGAUCUAGCAGUCAGUGCUCAAAGGACAUCAAAAUCAUCCGGAUCGUCGUCGAAAAGAAAAUUCAUUCCUCUUCAGGGAAAAUAGUCCGGUGAAUCAAACACAGAUGAGUACGACGAGGCGGGAAACCAUAACUGAAAAAACUCUGGGUCCUAGGCAACGUAAAGGCUGAUUCCCUCUGAGAACCGGCA
RNAcentral lists this long non-coding RNA (206 nucleotides) under Neodiprion lecontei (redheaded pine sawfly). RNAcentral describes it as "uncharacterized LOC124295049". The record is from RNAcentral. Lineage: Eukaryota; Metazoa; Arthropoda; Insecta; Hymenoptera; Diprionidae.